This 626-nucleotide ribosomal RNA is filed under the name Perenniporia straminea. RNAcentral's name for it is "eukaryotic LSU rRNA". The stretch from base 216 to 369 matches the Rfam family "5.8S ribosomal RNA". The record is from RNAcentral. Lineage: Eukaryota; Fungi; Basidiomycota; Agaricomycetes; Polyporales; Polyporaceae.
GGCGACUGCGGAGGAUCAUUAUCGAGUUUUGACUGGGUUGUAGCUGGCCUUACGAGGCAUGUGCACACCCUGUUAAUCCACUCUACACCUGUGCACUUACUGUGAGCUUCAGAGCAUGAAUGGGCCUUUGCGGGCUCUUGAAGUGCUUUGGGCUUGCGUUCCUUACAAACUCGAAUGUAACAGAAUGUCUAUUGCGAUAUAACGCAUCUAUAUACAACUUUCAGCAACGGAUCUCUUGGUUCUCGCAUCGAUGAAGAACGCAGCGAAAUGCGAUAAGUAAUGUGAAUUGCAGAAUUCAGUGAAUCAUCGAAUCUUUGAACGCACCUUGCGCUCCUUGGUAUUCCGAGGAGCAUGCCUGUUUGAGUGUCAUGAAAUCAUCAACUUACAAGCCUUUGUGGUUUGUACGCUUGGACUUUGAAGGCUUGUCGGCUUCUAUAAGUUGGCUCCUUUUAAAUGCAUUAGCUUGAUUCCUUGCGGAGCGGUUCUCGGUGUGAUAAUUGUCUACGCCGUGGCUGUGAAGUGUUUGGCGAGCUUCUAAUUGUCUUGCAUGAGACAACACUCUGACCUCUGACCUCAAAUCAGGUAGGACUACCCGCUGAACUUAAGCAUAUCAAUAAGCGGAGGAA